This is a non-coding RNA of Opisthorchis viverrini, 78 nucleotides long. Lineage: Eukaryota; Metazoa; Platyhelminthes; Trematoda; Opisthorchiida; Opisthorchiidae. The record is from Rfam.
GUGUCGUGAAAGACUUGAGUAGUGAGACGCUCAUUUGCUCACGGUUUCGGCGCCUCAUACUGAGUCUUUCGUGAUGUG